This 77-nucleotide transfer RNA is filed under the name Nostoc sp. TCL240-02. RNAcentral describes it as "tRNA-Leu". It matches the Rfam family "tRNA". From Rfam's summary of the family: Transfer RNA (tRNA) molecules are approximately 80 nucleotides in length. Lineage: Bacteria; Bacillati; Cyanobacteriota; Cyanophyceae; Nostocales; Nostocaceae. The record is from RNAcentral.
GCCCCUGUGACGGAACUGGCAUACGUGCUGGAAUCAGAGUCCAGAUUUUACAGGUUCAAAUCCUGUCAGGGGUACUA